This is a non-coding RNA of Salmo salar (Atlantic salmon), 72 nucleotides long. NCBI's taxonomy places the organism in Eukaryota, Metazoa, Chordata, Actinopteri, Salmoniformes, Salmonidae. The record is from Rfam.
CCCACUGUAGCUCAGUUGGUAGUGCAUGGCGCUUGCAACGCCAGGGUUGUGGGUUCGAUUCCCAUAGGGGGC